GAAAAGAACCAAACGCUGUGAUAGGUGGUGAUCCACACUGACUUCAGAAUCAGACCAAUCACAGGAAUGGUCAGACCCAAGUCAAACCAGAACACAAAUUCUCAAGCUAAAACAAACUCAGCCUGUAUAUUUGCUCCAGCGGAUUUUGCUACACAGGACACAAAUCCAGAUACAGGAAAAUGCAGAGUUUCGAUAUUGUGUGGGACGAUGACUAUUUUCUAAGCAUCUGGGAUUGAUCCAUUGCGUCUGCACUGAAUAUCACUCAUCAAGAUGGAGAGAAAAAAUGCAUACACAUGAAGGCGAAGAACCCGUUGUUUCGAUGUGGAAAAACACUUAAAAGUGACAAAAGUAGGAUCCAAUAUCUGUGUUAUGUUAUCAUAAACAUAACAAUGGAGAACAUCUAUGGAUGUCAUGACCUGAUAUCUGAUCCUACAGGGCAUAACCAAGAUGCACCUCACAUCAAGGAGACACACCAUGAAAGUUGAACAACAUUACAGAAGAUUCCACUGGUGGGGAUCUUAGAUGUCUCAGCAAUGUGAAAUUGCUAUCAAGAUUUCUUUAAUGGCUUCAACUUUUGACUUGUUGCAGAAUGAUCACAACUUCUUCAUGAAUGGGCUCUAUAGACCAGUUAUAGACCACGCUUUGUUCAGUCUGUUCUAGGAAGUGCGGGAACAGAAGAGUUAAUGUUUCUAAGCAAAAAUAAAAAUAAAAAUAAAAACACC
RNAcentral lists this long non-coding RNA (722 nucleotides) under Capra hircus (goat). Its description in RNAcentral is "lncRNA (ENSCHIG00000005778.1)". Lineage: Eukaryota; Metazoa; Chordata; Mammalia; Artiodactyla; Bovidae. The record is from RNAcentral.